CCCAAGUAGCCAGUUAAGGCACAUCACACAAUUUUGUCGCUAUAAUUUUCUUCCUUAUUCAUGAACUGAUUAUUGCAAUCUCCUCUUCAUGCUGCAAACCUGGCGGGUCAUGAAUUAUCUAGAGAAGAACGAUUUUUACAGACAAGUGCAGUUCUUCCUGCGGACGUUUGGAUGCAAUAACUGUUAAUCCUACACCUGAGUUAACAAACAUUACACCGGUAUCUAUGUUGAAAAAAAUCAUUACAGAGGAAUAUAAUAUCUACUCUCAAAAGAAGAACAGGAUAGGCCGGGUAACUUAAAAAAAAAAGACAGACACAUGGGGUAGAUUCAGAUGUAGUAGCUAGUAAUUAGAAGGAUAUCAUCCGUAACUACUUUUCUGUCGUGCUGUUGUUUUGAAUCGUGUCUCUUUAUGUGUUUUACAUCAUGACCUAAUAAUGUUUCAUUUCAGCAUAACAAAUGCUAAUCUACCUGACUCUUCUUACAUCUUUUAUCGGAAAAGACUAAUCUACUGACUCUUAUGUAGGAAUUGAGUGGCACCUUCAAGAUCGCUGGGUUUUAUGAAAAGAAACCUGUUCAUACUACCAAGGCCAGCACAUCUCGCACCAAGCC
This 609-nucleotide long non-coding RNA is filed under the name Brachypodium distachyon (stiff brome). RNAcentral's name for it is "long non-coding RNA (BDIS_LNC003589)". The record is from RNAcentral. Lineage: Eukaryota; Viridiplantae; Streptophyta; Magnoliopsida; Poales; Poaceae.